UACAGAGGUCUCAAGCGUUGUUCGGAUUCAUUGGGCGUAAAGGGCGCGUAGGUGGCGGGGCAAGUCAGGUGUGAAAUUUCGGAGCUUAACUCCGAAACUGCAUUUGAUACGGCCUUGCUUGAGGACUGGAGAGGAGACUGGAAUUCACGGUGUAGCAGUGAAAUGCGUAGAGAUCGUGAGGAAGACCAGUGGCGAAGGCGGGUCUCUGGACAGUUCCUGACACUGAGGCACGAAGGCCAGGGGAGCAAACGGG
Molecule: ribosomal RNA, 253 nt
Filed under: uncultured bacterium
Lineage: Bacteria
Description: partial 16S ribosomal RNA
Rfam family: Bacterial small subunit ribosomal RNA
Source: RNAcentral